GAUCAACGCUGGCGGCGUGCCUAACACAUGCAAGUCGAACGCGAAAGGGGCUUCGGCCCUGAGUAGAGUGGCGUCCGGGUGAGUAACGCGUGGGUAAUCUACCUUCGGGUGGGGAAGUAACCAGUCGAAAGAUUGGCUAAUACCGCAUAAUGCAGCGGCACGACAUCGUGACAGUUGUUAAAGGAGCAAUCCGCCUGAAGAGGAGCCUGCGUCUGAUUAGCUUGNGGUUGAGGUAACGGCUCACCAAGGCUACGAUCAGUAGCUGGUCUGAGAGGACGGCCAGCCACAAUGGCACUGAAACACGGGCCAUACUCCUACGGGAGGCAGCAGUGGGGAAUUUUGCNCAAUGGGCGAAAGCCUGACGCAGCAACGCCGCGUGAGGGAUGAAAUCCUUCGGGAUGUAAACCUCGCAAAUAUGGGAAGAACUCAAUGACGGUACCAUAUGUAAGCCACGGCUAACUACGUGCCAGCAGCCGCU
This 478-nucleotide ribosomal RNA is filed under the name uncultured bacterium. Its description in RNAcentral is "bacterial SSU rRNA". It matches the Rfam family "Bacterial small subunit ribosomal RNA", at positions 28 to 519 of the family's 1533-position model. The record is from RNAcentral.